RNAcentral lists this non-coding RNA (22 nucleotides) under Rattus norvegicus (Norway rat). The record is from RNAcentral. Lineage: Eukaryota; Metazoa; Chordata; Mammalia; Rodentia; Muridae.
UACUCCAUAACAAGAUGAAGUA